Molecule: ribosomal RNA, 222 nt
Filed under: uncultured bacterium
Lineage: Bacteria
Description: partial 16S ribosomal RNA
Rfam family: Bacterial small subunit ribosomal RNA
Source: RNAcentral
ACGCUCGACACCUACAGGAGGCAGCAGUAGGGAAUCUUCCACAAUGGGCGCAAGCCUGAUGGAGCAACACCGCGUGAGUGAAGAAGGGUUUCGGCUCGUAAAGCUCUGUUGUUGGAGAAGAACGUGCGUGAGAGUAACUGUUCACGCAGUGACGGUAUCCAACCAGAAAGUCACGGCUAACUACGUGCCAACNGCCGCGGUAAUCUGAGCGGCUGGCAAGGC